GUGUCAGCCGCCGCGGUAAUACGGAGGGUGCAAGCGUUAAUCGGAAUCACUGGGCGUAAAGCGCUCGUAGGCGGCCUUUUAAGUCAGGGGUGAAAUCCCACCGCUCACCGGUGGAACUGCCCUUGAUACUGAUUGGCUUGAGUGUGUGAGAGGAUGGUGGAAUUCCUGGUGUAGGAGUGAAAUCCGUAGAGAUCAGGAGGAAGAUCAGUGGCGAAGGCGACCAUCUGGCACAAUACUGACGCUGAGGAGCGAAAGCGUGGGUAGCAAACAGGAUUAGAUACCCUGGUAGUCCACGCUGUAAACGAUGGAUACUAGGUGCUGGGGGCUCGACUCUCGGUGCCGUAGCUAACGCGUUAAGUAUCCCGCCUGGGGAGUACGGUCGCAAGGCUGAAACUCAAAUAAAUUGACGG
RNAcentral lists this ribosomal RNA (410 nucleotides) under uncultured bacterium. Its description in RNAcentral is "bacterial SSU rRNA". It matches the Rfam family "Bacterial small subunit ribosomal RNA", at positions 505 to 916 of the family's 1533-position model. The record is from RNAcentral.